Molecule: long non-coding RNA, 5212 nt
Organism: Canis lupus familiaris (dog)
Lineage: Eukaryota; Metazoa; Chordata; Mammalia; Carnivora; Canidae
Exons: 3
Source: RefSeq, a predicted model, not a curated record
AAGAAUUCAAUCUCCAUCCCGUCUGUCUGCCCUCCCAGGAGGGAAGUUCCAAACCUCUAAUCACAGGGUGGCCUCUCCUGCCAACCUGGUGGCCUGCCUCGUUAGCAUAACAAGACACCUUGGCUCUCCUCUGGAGUUAGAAAUUCCGAAGGGGUUUUUUGGGAGCUUGUGCCAGCAUCAAGGACCAACACCGACUAUGUGCUUCUUAUUAUAAAUCACGAUGGCCCAGGCAGGUGAAGAGAAGCCUCUGGACUCCCCUCCCCGCAGGGCGGGGGGCACCUGUGUCCACCUGCUGUUGGGCCUAGAGCAAGGCAGCCCGUGGGAGACCUUGAUGUCUUCAGCCACUUGGGAAUCGCCCCCGCUGUCCCCCUCUGCCCGGCACCUGCACUUGGUCAGAGGACCAGGAAGCCUCCAGAAGCAGGACUAGAGCUCAGGCCGCCUGCACCUCGUCGUCCUCCUGGGCUUGGCUGCGAAACCCUCCCAGCAGGUUCAGCUUCAGGGAGCUGCUGCUGCUAUGGGGUUUGCCCCCACAAUGUCUUUUUUUUUUCCACUCCUGACUCUGCAGGAGCCCCGAUAAACCGAUGUAACUCUGUGAUGCCAUCAUCCCCAAACUGUUUUUGAAAACUUUAUAGAUCUCUCCGUAAAUGUAUUUUCUAAUACAAAUUAUAUAGAGUUAUAGGGGGCGCGGGGAAUGCCCUCAGCAUCCGUGUGACGGCUGUAUUUGAGAAAUUCUGUGGUUUGGCUAAAAGCCUGAGGGUGGGGGGAAUCUCAAACUCCCUUGACCCCUCGUGGGUAAAUGUGGGGAAAAAAUAAUACAUGAGAUUUUUUUUUUUUUAAGAGCCAAGUUUUUGAGCCAAACCACUCCACCCACUGAACUUCAUAACCAAGGGGAAAGGAGGUCUCUUCAGAUUUUCUAGAAGCCUCAGUGCCAGAGCCUGCGCUCCUCUCUCCGCCUCUGGAUUUUGUCAGCGGCCAGUGGCCCCACCUGGUCUGUUUGGACACUCCCCUUCCCCAGCCAGGUGUUCCCGCACCCCAACCUGCUACAGGGGCGGGUGGGGGGCACACAGCCUGCUCGGCCUCCACUCUUAGUAGUUCUCUCUCCCCCUCAACUCCUCCUUUACCUGCCGGAAUGCCUUCCAGCUACCUGGUGGGAGCAGAGCCCCACCUUCCCUUUGCUUAGAACAAAGGAGCUGCCGCAGAGCCGGCGUGGGGGCAGGGGCUCCUGAGCAGCUGACCCAGGCAGGUGGCUGGAGGUGGCCGGAAAAGGUUUGUUGUAGCUCCCGGGCUUUCCCAGCCCUUCCAGGUGGGGAAGGACUCUGCACUUUCACCCUGAACUCCAUCAGGUUUGCAGCUGGCUGUUUCCCAACACCCAGACUGGUCUUAUUUGUGGCCUGGGGGGGAGGUGCAGGAGUCUGUCAACUCCUUGGCACAGUGUUCCAAGGACACACACCGGGAAUGCAGCUCAGGGCUCUCAGGAGGGUGCCAGGGGCCCUGCAAAUUCACUAAUAACAACCAUGAGGCCCCGCAGAGCAAGUAUGCACUUUCAUCAAUCACCCAAGGAGCCUCCUCAUUUGUGUUCUGCUCACGUAUUCAGCAAAUCAGCUCUGUGCACCUGCCGUGUGCCCGCACCGUGCUGGGUGGCCCGGCUGCUCCACUGGGAGGGGGUGGUUGUGGCUGUGUGUCCUGGUGUCACACUGUCCCGGGCUGGAGGCUUACAUGCUGGUGGCGGUGAGGAGGUUGUAGAGAGCAAGAUGGAGUGACUCAUGUCAAGCAGGGGCCUGUGCCGAGCAGUGACACAAGGAGUAAAGGGUACGGGAGCGACACCAGCACCAGCUGACGACACACCCAGGCCCAGAUUGACCCCAAUCCCUCCCAAAGAGGAGCACGUUUGCAGUAAACCGUCAUGCUCUUCGGACGUGACCUCGGUCAAAAAGGCAGCUGCGGCCAAAGGCUCUGCCCCAGGGAUCUGCGAACAGAACCCAGAACCUUCCCUGCUCAAGCACGAGAUGCGGGAAGAGGCCGGAGCUGACCCGGACUGGACCGAGGCCUGGUCUCCACCGAGCCCCCAGACUGACUUCAGGUUGGGUUCUUGAACUUUCUGAACCCCUUUUAUCUCGUUUCUUGUGUGACUUGCCUUAUGCUCUGCUCUGCGUGCUGCCCCAGAAGGCAAGUCUUUGGACUUGGAAUCCUGGACCCGCUUUGUGAUGAUGUCACCCCAGCCUUGGACCCAACUCCGCCGACGCUGCGGAAAGACCCAGCUCGGGCGUGGUGCUUGGAGCUGGCUCACGCAUGACAGGGGCGCCGUGGGAUCAGCCCCCCAGGAGAAGGAGGCAGGACCAGGCAGCAGAUGCAGAGCCACAGUGGGGGCCCGGCCCCAGGACGGCCAGGCCUCUGUACCAGCGCUGGCCCGUCUGUGGAUGUGGGCUGCCCUCUGCGCAAGGUGCCUCUCCAGAGCUCAGGCGGGGCUUCAAGGUGCUCGGAGCUGGGGCAGCCCUGGUGGCUGGACGGUUUGGCGCGGCCUUCGGCCCAGGGCCUGAUCCUGGAGCCCCGGGUUCAAGUCCCACGUCAGGCUCCCUGCAUGGAGCCUGCUUCUCCCUCUGCCUGUGCCUCUGCCCCUCUCUCUCUCUCUGUGUCUCUCAUGCAUAGAUAAAUAAAAUAUUUUUAAAAAAUAAAUAAAUAAAGUGCUCGGAGCUGACAAGCCCUCUGCAGACACCGCAGCAGGUGGGGCUGAAUCCCCCCAGGAAGGCGGAUCUGGGCAGUAGCACAUCUGCGUGUCCACCGCACUGAGUCCGCAUCUCGCUCCCUGCGUGGCCUUGGGCAGGAGGCUCAGCCUCUCUGAAGGACAGUUUGCCUAUCUGACAAGAGGGGGUGAUAAUACCCACCUCGGGGAGGAUAGGAAUUCCUACCAUAGCAAAACCCGUAGAACGAGCUCAGUAGGUCGUUGUUUCUGGAAAUCAUUAAAAAAUAGAAGUAAGGUCUGCACUUGAGGGAACUUCUGUUCAUUUCCGUAGUUCCAGCCCACGCUGAUCCGGUGUGAGGAGUGCAAGCCUCGGGAGACCAAGCGGCCCCUCAGCGGCGGCCCCUGGCCCUAUCUCGGGAAGGCUCCCCCGAAGGCCCAGUCACCCGUGGCUGUCCAGCAGGGGUUCCCUGAGCUUCACUCUGUGCCUGACACGGGGCUGGGAUGGCACGCUAGGGGCCAACACGGUGGCGCCCGCUCCCAUGGAUGUUGGCAAUGAGGGUAAAUGAAGGGGAAACUCCUGAUGGGUUCUUAGUCUGGGGUGAGGGAGUGGCAUUGGGGUCCACUCCACAGUGAAAAGUCCCCCCGAGCUGCCGUGGGGACAGAGUGGGCCUGGGGUGGGCAUCACUGCCUCUUGCCUGGGCCAUGAGAGGAAAAGAGAAGGAGGGAGGGGAAGAGAGGAAUCAAAGGAUUCCCUUGGAUUCUGGCCUGAACAACGGGGAAGGGGAAGGCACGGCUGGGGGGAGAAGCCUAAGAAUGCCAAAAGUCUUUUGAGUUCAAGGCCAAGACUGUUUAUUUGUUGAAUUUCUACAAUGCCUCUUUGCCGGGCCAGAAAAUACAAAGUGCAAGGCCAGGCCCCGGGGUUUUCUGCUGCAGCCUUGGCAUUUCCUGCAACGUUGUUGUCAUUUUUACCCUGGAACCCAGGGGUCACGUGACUCCCCAGUCCCUGACCUUGGCCUCCUGGGGCAGGCCGGGACUCACUGUAUGCACUCUCCCUGCUGGUGUCUCCUGGCACUGGGGUCUGCUGAAGGGCACGUCCCAGGCCCUCCAGGCGGGGGGUGUGGCGGGAGCCUCCUGUGCACGCACAUGAAGCAGGGCUGUGCAGAGAAGAGUAACGCGCUGCCUUAGUAAAUGCUUGCCCUGCUAGGUGUUUAUUUUAUUUUUUAUUUUUUAUUUUUUUUGCUAGGUGUUUAAUAUCACAGGCAUUUAAUUCUCAGAACAGCCCAAGACAGAUAUCCCCACUAUUUAAACAGGAAAACAGAGGCCGAGAGGCCUCGCCACGUGCAGAAAGCCUUGAGGAGACUGUUCAGAGGUAGAAUCCUAACCCUCCCUCCUUGGUUGUGUUUUUCUUUCCAGGGGAACCUGAAACACUUUUUCUGCUCUGGUCCCCCACCCCCACCCCACAUAUCUAAUUCUGAUUAUCCAAGUGGACUUUACGCCAGAUAGCCCUGAACCAGUACCUGUCUUCCCCUUGGAGGGUCACUGGGUCCUCCGUGUCGGUUUUUCCCAAUCUUAAGCCAGAAGCUUGCAAAGUGACAAUUGGCUCUUGCACCUGAGCAACAAAAUGUCUAUGCUGUGGUUAACAUCACCUGCCAUGUCCAGAUUUACUCGCUUAGGUUUCAUGUUAGGUCACUGAGCAAGCCACUUGCCUUAAAAGGGUGUGAUGCUUUCAGUGGGGUCUUUGAUAGGUGUGGGUCUCAGGACCAUGGCUCUGAAGUUCACCCCAAAUAUUGGGAAUUACCCUGCUUAUAGUUAUCGUAAUCAUCUCCCUGGUGCAUUGUAUCCUCUCGAAAAACUUUCAGUGCCUGUUUGCAGCCGCUAAGUACCAAGCAGGUGAUCUCCCCAGCCUGGAAUGUCAGAGAAGUGAAGGAAGCAGCUGACAAGGUGUGUGAGGUUGUGGCCUGUGAAUAUCACAGAGAACCAGCAAAAAACAUCAUAACCUGUGAAUAUCACACAGAGGAUCCAUAAAAGCUGUGAGAACCACAGGGUGUAGCUGAAAGUGGCUCCAGUGCCUUCAAUUUUGAUCACAUCUCUCCAUUAUGUGGAGAAUCUGAUCAAAGGGGGGAAAUCGUUAAAAAGAAUACGACAGGCCCCCAAAUGGCAUCGCUUGGGCCAAGUCACCAAACCAGGGUUUACUACCCAACCUAACUGCAGUUUCAACCUUCCCCAGAAAUUUAAGGAUCCUCUCCAUCCCCCCCCAAAGGAAGACAAAGUAAUCUGCAUGGUAAGACCCCCUGCACCUUCCUCAUGGGAAAGAGAGGCUGCCUGGGGUAAACCUUCACUAAUGUAACUCCUUGUCCCACCUCUGGGAUUCCGUUUCGGAUGUGGUACGCAUAUAUAGUGGAAUGGUACUCGGCCAUCAAAAGGAAUGAAAUCUUGCCAUUUGCAUCGAUGUAGAUGGAACUAGAGGGUAUUGUGCUAAGCAAAAUUAGUCAGAGAAAGGCAAAUAUCCUAUUAUUUCACUCAUAUGUGUAA